This 1879-nucleotide long non-coding RNA is filed under the name Olea europaea subsp. europaea. Lineage: Eukaryota; Viridiplantae; Streptophyta; Magnoliopsida; Lamiales; Oleaceae. The record is from RNAcentral.
CUCGAACGAAGAAACCCUAGAUGUUGACUUCUAAUCUUCUUCCCUCUCUUCCACAGAUUUGCAAAUUAGUCAUGUCUCUAUCUAAGAAAUUCGAAUUUUCAGAAUACCCUUUUGCUCUUCUUCUGCAUUGUUGGUUGACGAUCUUCUUUUUGUAUUGUUAGCCGUUCAAUUUUCUCUAUUCUGUUUGUUCAAACUUGUGUGAAUGCAAAAUGAAUAUAUUUACCACUCAAAACCCAGUACUUUUAGUUUUAAUUUUUAAAUUAUCAAAAAUUAAUUUUUGCAUGUGUGUGCAUAAUUAUUAGUAGGGAUUUGAAUGGAUUAUUUUCGGAGGUUGAAUUGAAAUCUAUUGGAUGAAGAAGAAGUCGGACUGUUGAGGUGUGUGAGCUUAGGUGCCAAAAUUGAGUGAAGGGCUUUCUUCUUUUGGUAGAAUGCUGCUGAACAAAUCACAUUCUCCUUCUUCACGGCAGAAUCCAGUUAAUACUUAUUAUUAAGAGCUUUCGAACGUUUCAUAAUUAUUUUUGAUAAAUCUUUUUCUGUGCUUUUUUCAGGAAGUAAAAAGUCCUCCAACCUCUACCGAUGGUAUGACUUUUCUUCGUGUUAUGUAACUUAUGUUUGAGAAUUUGCUGAUGUGAAAAUUUAUCAUGUUUCGAAUAAUGAAUUAACUAUGAUUAUACCACUGAAGAUGAUGAAGACAGCGACGAAGAGCGAUAGAUGAGGAGCUCAAACGCGACUGUUUGCAAACGAGUUUGGCAGAAACUCACACAAUCGAAGUAACCCAUUAUAGAAAGAAUAUUUUUCUUUUGUUUGGACCUUGUUUCUAAUUUGGGUUUUAUAAAUCUUUUUUGAAUGUGGGUCUGAAAUUAUUAUUUAUUUUUUUAAUCUUUUGUCAGAUUUUUUAUUUGUCUUCAUUUGGAGUUUGUCCAUGUUUUGGAGGGAGUUGUGCAGGUCUGAUUGUGUGUGGAAAGCUCUAUGCAAAGAUGGUUGUUAUGCACGUGAUUUUGAUAAAGAUUCUUCAGCUUUCCAAGAUCAAAAUUUCGAGCUUGACCAGUGAAUGAAUUCCAAUUUAAAGGUCUUUUAUCUAUUUCUAUAAUUUGGGUUUUGUAUUAUGUUUGAGCACUUUUACUUUCUUUAUUUAGUAUAUAUCUUGUUCUUUAGGUGAAUGAAUUAUCACUUUAUUGUAAUUGAGAUUUUAUGUUAUGUUUAAGUUUUGUUUUAAACGUGUAAUGAAAAAAUUAGCAAUAAAUAAGGUCCACCUUUUGUAAUUUAUUUUCUUGGGUGUGAAGAAAUUUUCUGGAAUCCUUGAAAAAAAAGGAUUAUGUUCCCUAAUAUUUCUUGCUUUGUACAGAUUUCAUACAUUCUUGUGGAUUUACUAAUAUGAUGGGCAUAAGAGGAUACAUUAAUGACUUCAGGAAAAAGAAGAUGAAGUUUGAUCCUACUGCAUACUUGAGUACAUACUAUGAGUCAGUAUCUCAUUUACCAACGGGCUACAUGUGAAGUUCCCACAUUGUGCCAAAGCAAAAUGGUAAGCGUGCCAUUUAGAAUUGCAUGACUAAUAUUCAUGGAGGCAAUAAUUUUUCAUUGCCGAGAAGCUAAAUUAUGUAGAAAUCUUGUUUCGGUCAACAUUUUCCAUAUCUCAAUCUUAUAUAGGACUAAUCCUUUCAACUAAUCUGCAGACUGUGGCCGUCUGGUUGAUAUUGUCGACUCUGGCCAUCUGGUUGAUAUUGUUGGUUAUUUUUUUUUAAACUAGCAAUCAAAAUGUCAACCUCCUGAAGAAUUUGCUGAAUGGAUGCAAAAGGGAUUUAGGCCCUUCAACUAAGUUCGUAGAAGAAAUUUCUAAUUAUUAUUAGUAUUUUCACUUAGAAGCAAUUUUUAGUACACA